RNAcentral lists this ribosomal RNA (615 nucleotides) under Bacillus licheniformis. Its description in RNAcentral is "bacterial SSU rRNA". It matches the Rfam family "Bacterial small subunit ribosomal RNA", at positions 779 to 1394 of the family's 1533-position model. Lineage: Bacteria; Bacillati; Bacillota; Bacilli; Caryophanales; Bacillaceae. The record is from RNAcentral.
UAGAUACCCUGGUAGUCCACGCCGUAAACGAUGAGUGCUAAGUGUUAGAGGGUUUCCGCCCUUUAGUGCUGCAGCAAACGCAUUAAGCACUCCGCCUGGGGAGUACGGUCGCAAGACUGAAACUCAAAGGAAUUGACGGGGGCCCGCACAAGCGGUGGAGCAUGUGGUUUAAUUUGAAGCAACGCGAAGAACCUUACCAGGUCUUGACAUCCUCUGACAACCCUAGAGAUAGGGCUUCCCCUUCGGGGGCAGAGUGACAGGUGGUGCAUGGUUGUCGUCAGCUCGUGUCGUGAGAUGUUGGGUUAAGUCCCGCAACGAGCGCAACCCUUGAUCUUAGUUGCCAGCAUUCAGUUGGGCACUCUAAGGUGACUGCCGGUGACAAACCGGAGGAAGGUGGGGAUGACGUCAAAUCAUCAUGCCCCUUAUGACCUGGGCUACACACGUGCUACAAUGGGCAGAACAAAGGGCAGCGAAGCCGCGAGGCUAAGCCAAUCCCACAAAUCUGUUCUCAGUUCGGAUCGCAGUCUGCAACUCGACUGCGUGAAGCUGGAAUCGCUAGUAAUCGCGGAUCAGCAUGCCGCGGUGAAUACGUUCCCGGGCCUUGUACACACCGCC